This is a long non-coding RNA of Heterocephalus glaber (naked mole-rat), 988 nucleotides long. The record is from Ensembl. NCBI's taxonomy places the organism in Eukaryota, Metazoa, Chordata, Mammalia, Rodentia, Bathyergidae.
GCGCGGCUCCGCUUGCGCACACUCGGGGAAGGAGAGCUGACCUGUUUUCUCCGUCCUGGCCCGCCUCCAUAUUGCCAGUGUGCAGAGGCGGGAGGGAAAGGAAGAGGGAAGUGGAAAGGGAGCAAAGAAGCUAGUGAGGAUUUCAGUGGCAGGACAAGAAAGUGGCACAAGCAACAAAUCCAAGACAACGUAAAAAAAGCAUUUCCUGUCCUGAGUACUGCAAGCUGCUUUCCAAAGACUGUUCUCAGCUUCAGAUGAUCCCGGGCCUCAACAUUCUAAAGAAUGAAAGAAAGUACCACCCCUAGAAGAGAAAGAAAAUAUUUCCUCUGAAAUUGUGGACGUCUCAUGGCAUCCUUCCAUCACUAACAGUACACCUGCCUCACAGGGCCAGCCAUGGGUAGGCAGUCAGCGUCCAUUCCGGAGGCCGCUGUGGAGUCUUCACAACUUUGGCAACUUCAGGGCUGAGCUGUCCGGCAGUGGUAAUCUUAUUGUGGGAGCCUAUGAGUGACCACUGACCUGAUGGAGGGUUAGUCUCGGCAGGAGGAUGGCUAUUAAUGGGUUGUUUUUAGGUGAAAGCUGAAGAAACCACAAAUAAAAUCCUCACCUUAAAACUUAACUUUAAAAAGAAAAUCUUUUUUCAUCUUUUUGGAUUGCAGCAAAUAUUAGACUUUCUGAUUUAAAUUUCACUUGGGACUUAUGCAUACUGUAUUUUAUUUGAUGGAGGUAGUAUUAAAAAUAUAUUCAAUUUAGCAUUAAAGAAGUGGCAUAACAGUUUGUCUGAAGUAGGAUGGUAGCCCGUGAUUUCAUUAAUCUUCUGAGUAAGAAAUGUUUAAAAUGGUUCAACCUAUCCCACAAGCCAGGUGUAGUGGUGCACCCAUGUAAUCCCAGCACUCUGAGAGUCUGAGGCAGGAUAGCAAGCUCAAACUCAGUCUGGACAAUUUAGUGAGACCCUGUCUCAAAAAAUAAAUUAAAUUUUAAAUUUAAAAAA